RNAcentral lists this ribosomal RNA (497 nucleotides) under uncultured bacterium. RNAcentral describes it as "partial 16S ribosomal RNA". It matches the Rfam family "Bacterial small subunit ribosomal RNA", at positions 28 to 507 of the family's 1533-position model. The record is from RNAcentral.
GAUGAACGCUGGCGGCGUGCCUAAUACAUGCAAGUCGAGCGAACAGACGAGGAGCUUGCUCCUCUGACGUUAGCGGCGGACGGGUGAGUAACACGUGGAUAACCUACCUAUAAGACUGGGAUAACUUCGGGAAACCGGAGCUAAUACCGGAUAAUAUAUUGAACCGCAUGGUUCAAUAGUGAAAGACGGUUUUGCUGUCACUUAUAGAUGGAUCCGCGCCGCAUUAGCUAGUUGGUAAGGUAACGGCUUACCAAGGCAACGAUGCGUAGCCGACCUGAGAGGGUGAUCGGACACACUGGAACUGAGACACGGUCCAGACUCCUACGGGAGGAAGCAGUAGGGAAUCUUCCGCAAUGGGCGAAAGCGUGACGGAGCAACGCCGCGUGAGUGAUGAAGGUCUUCGGAUCGUAAAACUCUGUUAUUAGGGAAGAACAAAUGUGUAAGUAACUAUGCACGUCUUGACGGUACCUAAUCAGAAAGCCACGGCUAACUACGUG